This 516-nucleotide ribosomal RNA is filed under the name uncultured eukaryote. RNAcentral describes it as "eukaryotic LSU rRNA". It matches the Rfam family "Eukaryotic large subunit ribosomal RNA", at positions 1689 to 2209 of the family's 3401-position model. The record is from RNAcentral.
AACGACUUCUCCGCAAGGGGUGUAUGAUGACCAUGGAAUCAAUUUAGUUGGAGAAAUGGUUAAAGAGUCGGUAGAGUAGUUCAAUUUCUGAACUAUCUGGUUAGGUUCUAAUGGUACAUAAAAAUUUGAGGGAAUGAUCUUACUUGAAUAGUCGUACUCAUAACCGCAGCAGGUCUCCAAGGUUAGAAGCCUCUAGUUGGCAGAAUAAUGUAGGUAAGGGAAGUCGGCAAAAUAGAUCUGUAACUUCGGGAAAAAGAUUGGCUCUAAAGGCUGAAUAUAUGGGCUAUAUCAGUAAGUUAUCGUAGACUAAGUUAUUACGAUUGGCUGUCAUGGUUGAUUGUGAUGGUUUAGUUGAAGGUGAUGGAUGGGUGUAGGCAGCUGUCAAAGGUUGUGCUGUAUACAAUUAACAGCUAAUUUAGAACUGUUACUGACCAGGGGAAUCCGACUGUUAAUUAAAACAAGCAUUGUGAUGUUCUCAAUAAGGAUUCUAACACAAUGUGAUUUCUGCCCAGUGCU